This 558-nucleotide ribosomal RNA is filed under the name Arthrobacter sp. RNAcentral describes it as "bacterial SSU rRNA". It matches the Rfam family "Bacterial small subunit ribosomal RNA", at positions 349 to 918 of the family's 1533-position model. The record is from RNAcentral. Lineage: Bacteria; Bacillati; Actinomycetota; Actinomycetes; Micrococcales; Micrococcaceae.
GCGCAGUGGGGAUAUUGCACAAUGGGCGCAAGCCUGAUGCAGCGACGCCGCGUGAGGGAUGACGGCCUUCGGGUUGUAAACCUCUUUCAGUAGGGAAGAAGCGAGAGUGACGGUACCUGCAGAAGAAGCGCCGGCUAACUACGUGCCAGCAGCCGCGGUAAUACGUAGGGCGCAAGCGUUAUCCGGAUUUAUUGGGCGUAAAGAGCUCGUAGGCGGUUUGUCGCGUCUGCCGUGAAAGUCCGAGGCUCAACCUCGGAUCUGCGGUGGGUACGGGCAGACUAGAGUGAUGUAGGGGAGACUGGAAUUCCUGGUGUAGCGGUGAAAUGCGCAGAUAUCAGGAGGAACACCGAUGGCGAAGGCAGGUCUCUGGGCAUUUACUGACGCUGAGGAGCGAAAGCAUGGGGAGCGAACAGGAUUAGAUACCCUGGUAGUCCAUGCCGUAAACGUUGGGCACUAGGUGUGGGGGACAUUCCACGUUUUCCGCGCCGUAGCUAACGCAUUAAGUGCCCCGCCUGGGGAGUACGGCCGCAAGGCUAAAACUCAAAGGAAUUGACGGGG